GAACGCUAGCUACAGGCUUAACACAUGCAAGUCGAGGGGCAGCAUGGUCUUAGCUUGCUAAGGCCGAUGGCGACCGGCGCACGGGUGAGUAACACGUAUCCAACCUGCCGUCUACUCUUGGACAGCCUUCUGAAAGGAAGAUUAAUACAAGAUGGCAUCAUGAGUCCGCAUGUUCACAUGAUUAAAGGUAUUCCGGUAGACGAUGGGGAUGCGUUCCAUUAGAUAGUAGGCGGGGUAACGGCCCACCUAGUCUUCGAUGGAUAGGGGUUCUGAGAGGAAGGUCCCCCACAUUGGAACUGAGACACGGUCCAAACUCCUACGGGAGGCAGCAGUGAGGAAUAUUGGUCAAUGGGCGAGAGCCUGAACCAGCCAAGUAGCGUGAAGGAUGACUGCCCUAUGGGUUGUAAACUUCUUUUAUAAAGGAAUAAAGUCGGGUAUGCAUACCCGUUUGCAUGUACUUUAUGAAUAAGGAUCGGCUAACUCCGUGCCAGCAGCCGCGGUAAUACGGAGGAUCCGAGCGUUAUCCGGAUUUAUUGGGUUUAAAGGGAGCGUAGAUGGAUGUUUAAGUCAGUUGUGAAAGUUUGCGGCUCAACCGUAAAAUUGCAGUUGAUACUGGAUAUCUUGAGUGCAGUUGAGGCAGGCGGAAUUCGUGGUGUAGCGGUGAAAUGCUUAGAUAUCACGAAGAACUCCGAUUGCGAAGGCAGCCUGCUAAGCUGCAACUGACAUUGAGGCUCGAAAGUGUGGGUAUCAAACAGGAUUAGAUACCCUGGUAGUCCACACGGUAAACGAUGAAUACUCGCUGUUUGCGAUAUACAGCAAGCGGCCAAGCGAAAGCGUUAAGUAUUCCACCUGGGGAGUACGCCGGCAACGGUGAAACUCAAAGGAAUUGACGGGGGCCCGCACAAGCGGAGGAACAUGUGGUUUAAUUCGAUGAUACGCGAGGAACCUUACCCGGGCUUAAAUUGCAGAUGAAUUACGGUGAAAGCCGUAAGCCGCAAGGCAUCUGUGAAGGUGCUGCAUGGUUGUCGUCAGCUCGUGCCGUGAGGUGUCGGCUUAAGUGCCAUAACGAGCGCAACCCUUGUUGUCAGUUACUAACAGGUUCCGCUGAGGACUCUGACAAGACUGCCAUCGUAAGAUGUGAGGAAGGUGGGGAUGACGUCAAAUCAGCACGGCCCUUACGUCCGGGGCUACACACGUGUUACAAUGGGGGGGUACAGAGGGCCGCUACCACGCGAGUGGAUGCCAAUCCCAAAAACCUCUCUCAGUUCGGACUGGAGUCUGCAACCCGACUCCACGAAGCUGGAUUCGCUAGUAAUCGCGCAUCAGCCACGGCGCGGUGAAUACGUUCCCGGGCCUUGUACACACCGCCCGUCAAGCCAUGGGAGCCGGGGGUACCUGAAGUGCGUAACCGCGAGGAGCGCCCUAGGGUAAAACUGGUGACUGGGGCUAAGU
This 1452-nucleotide ribosomal RNA is filed under the name uncultured organism. RNAcentral describes it as "SSU rRNA". It matches the Rfam family "Bacterial small subunit ribosomal RNA". The record is from RNAcentral.